RNAcentral lists this ribosomal RNA (254 nucleotides) under Draconarius lutulentus. RNAcentral's name for it is "partial 12S ribosomal RNA". The record is from RNAcentral. Lineage: Eukaryota; Metazoa; Arthropoda; Arachnida; Araneae; Agelenidae.
AUCGACAAUACACGUUAANUUUCACUUUCUUAUAAAAUUUAUAUACCGCCAUCUUAAGAAUCAAUCAAAAAAUAUUUCUCAAAAAAAAAUAUAAAAAGUUAGGUCAAGGUGUAAUUCAUAUUUAAGAUAAGAUGAAUUACAUUAAAUAUAAUUUAAAGAUUAAAUAUAUAUAUAUAUUCAUAAAUAAGAAUUUAAAAGUAAUAUUUAAAUAAUAAUAUAAUAUGACAAAGAUAAUAAAUGUGUACACAUCGCCC